RNAcentral lists this ribosomal RNA (497 nucleotides) under uncultured bacterium. RNAcentral describes it as "partial 16S ribosomal RNA". It matches the Rfam family "Bacterial small subunit ribosomal RNA", at positions 28 to 507 of the family's 1533-position model. The record is from RNAcentral.
GAUGAACGCUGGCGGCGUGCCUAAUACAUGCAAGUCGAGCGAACGGACGAGAAGCUUGCUUCUCUGAUGUUAGCGGCGGACGGGUGAGUAACACGUGGAUAACCUACCUAUAAGACUGGGAUAACUUCGGGAAACCGGAGCUAACACCGGAUAAUAUUUUGAACCGCAUGGUUCAAAAGUGAAAGACGGUCUUGCUGUCACUUAUAGAUGGAUCCGCGCUGCAUUAGCUAGUUGGUAAGGUAACGGCUUACCAAGGCAACGAUGCAUAGCCGACCUGAGAGGGUGAUCGGCCACACUGGAACUGAGACACGGUCCAGACUCCUACGGGAGGCAGCAGUAGGGAAUCUUCCGCAAAGGGCGAAAGCCUGACGGAGCAACGCCGCGUGAGUGAUGAAGGUCUUCGGAUCGUAAAACUCUGUUAUUAGGGAAGAACAUAUGUGUAAGUAACUGUGCACAUCUUGACGGUACCUAAUCAGAAAGCCGCGGCUAACUACGUG